RNAcentral lists this ribosomal RNA (250 nucleotides) under uncultured bacterium. RNAcentral's name for it is "partial small subunit ribosomal RNA". It matches the Rfam family "Bacterial small subunit ribosomal RNA", at positions 26 to 285 of the family's 1533-position model. The record is from RNAcentral.
AGGAUGAACGCUAGCGGCAGGCCUAAUACAUGCAAGUCGAACGGUGGCAGCAAUGUCAUAGUGGCGCACGGGUGCGUAACACGUAACUAACCUACCUAUAACUGGGGGAUAGCCCGCCGAAAGGCGGAUUAAUACCGCAUAAGCUACUGAUUUGGCAUCAGGUUGGUAGUAAAGAUUUAUUGGUUAUAGAUGGGGUUGCGGGUCAUUAGCUAGUUGGUAGGGUAACGGCUUACCAAGGCGACGAUGACUA